This 291-nucleotide unclassified non-coding RNA is filed under the name Melitaea cinxia (Glanville fritillary). Its description in RNAcentral is "misc RNA ENSMCXG00005001874.1". Lineage: Eukaryota; Metazoa; Arthropoda; Insecta; Lepidoptera; Nymphalidae. The record is from RNAcentral.
UCCCAGACGCACCAGCUGAUAUAAAAGUCCUGAUCCUGUCUCCUACGUCGCUUCUUGUUAGUUGGAAGAAGCCAAAACAUCCAAAUGGGGAGCUGAUAUAUUACACUGUAUACGUGAAACCGACAUCUAGCAACGGUUCUCCUCAAACGUUCCGAGUAGACGUUUCACGAACAACAGCUGAAGUAAAGGACUUGACGACGGAAAGGACGUAUGAAGCAUGGGUCACAGCGAGCACUAGUGUUGGAGAAGGUACAGCCAGCAAACGAGUACUGCAAACGCCUGUACAAAGAG